GCGAACGUAGUUCAGUAGUAGAACACCACCUUGCCAAGGUGGGGGUCGCGGGUUCGAAUCCCGUCGUUCGCU
Molecule: transfer RNA, 72 nt
Filed under: Streptococcus pneumoniae
Lineage: Bacteria; Bacillati; Bacillota; Bacilli; Lactobacillales; Streptococcaceae
Description: tRNA-Gly(gcc)
Rfam family: tRNA
About the family: Transfer RNA (tRNA) molecules are approximately 80 nucleotides in length. Their secondary structure includes four short double-helical elements and three loops (D, anti-codon, and T loops).
Source: RNAcentral